GCAUCCGUAGCUCAAUUGGAUAGAGUAGCUGGCUUCGAACCAGUUGGUUGGGGGUUCGAGUCCCUCCGGGUGUGCCA
RNAcentral lists this transfer RNA (77 nucleotides) under Tissierella sp. Yu-01. RNAcentral's name for it is "tRNA-Arg". It matches the Rfam family "tRNA". From Rfam's summary of the family: Transfer RNA (tRNA) molecules are approximately 80 nucleotides in length. Their secondary structure includes four short double-helical elements and three loops (D, anti-codon, and T loops). The record is from RNAcentral. Lineage: Bacteria; Bacillati; Bacillota; Tissierellia; Tissierellales; Tissierellaceae.